AUACGUAGGGGGCGAGCGUUGUCCGGAAUGAUUGGGCGUAAAGGGCGCGUAGGCGGCGCGGUAAGUCUGGAGUGAAAGUCCUGCUUUCAAGGUGGGAAUUGCUUUGGAUACUGCCGCGCUUGAGUGCAGGAGAGGUUAUCGGAAUUCCCGGUGUAGCGGUGAAAUGCGUAGAGAUCGGGAGGAACACCAGUGGCGAAGGCGGGUAACUGGACUGCAACUGACGCUGAGGCGCGAAAGUGUGGGGAGCAAACAGGAUUAGAUACCCUGGUAGUCCACACUGUAAACGAUGAAUGCUAGGUGUAAGAGGUAUCGACCCCUUUUGUGCCGGAGUCAACACAAUAAGCAUUCCACCUGGGGAGUACGGCCGCAAGGUUGAAACUCAAAUGAAUUGACGGGG
RNAcentral lists this ribosomal RNA (397 nucleotides) under uncultured bacterium. RNAcentral describes it as "partial 16S ribosomal RNA". It matches the Rfam family "Bacterial small subunit ribosomal RNA", at positions 523 to 918 of the family's 1533-position model. The record is from RNAcentral.